This 1161-nucleotide ribosomal RNA is filed under the name Triticum aestivum (bread wheat). RNAcentral's name for it is "partial small subunit ribosomal RNA". The record is from RNAcentral. Lineage: Eukaryota; Viridiplantae; Streptophyta; Magnoliopsida; Poales; Poaceae.
AUGGGUUUCAGUUGCUUCCAGCUCCAUUCAGGGAGCUGUGAUGACGUGCCACUUGAUUUCCAUGUGCAGCAAAAUGGCCACUAUGAGCUCCAUUCUGUUGAUCGUUCAUUUGAACCUGCUGGUGGAUCGAUCGUUCCAUUUGCAACCUUCUAUCAUGAGUCAUAUCCACAAGGCACAACCAAGAAAGAUGUCGUUGACGGUGCUUCAUCAAUCAUUCAUAAUCCUGGACCUCACUUGCCUCUCUUGUCGCCAAAACCUGAGAUUUCACAUCUCAUAGGAGGUGGAAUGGGAUCAUACAAGACGUAUGAGAUGAGCGGCAGGUUUAUUCCAAGAAGGAAAGCCUCGAGUAAGGCUGUCAAGAAGACUAAUGUUGUCAAAGGGCAAUGGACACCGGAAGAAGACAGGAAGUUAGUAAAGUUAGUGGAACAGUUUGGAUUGGGGAAGUGGUCUCAGAUGGCACAGAUGCUGCCUGUGAGAGUAGGAAAACAAUGCAGAGAAAGAUGGCACAACCAUUUGAGACCUAACAUCAAGAAAGAUACUUGGAGUGAGGAGGAAGAUAUGGUUCUGAUACAAACGCACAAGGAGGUUGGCAACAAAUGGGCAGAGAUAGCUAAGCGGCUCCCUGGGAGAACAGAAAACUCCAUAAAAAAUCAUUGGAAUGCAACAAAGAGAAGGCAAUUUGCACGGAGGCAGACCGGCACUAAAGCCAAGAAUCCCAAAUCAGGGACCCUUCUACAGAACUACAUCAAAAGUCUUGGGAUUGGCUCUAGCAAGGUCAUUGCUCCUCUAGAUCCGAAAGAACCUCCAUUGUCAGCAUUUUCACCAGCACCCCCGACACAAAAUCGGGCACAUAUGAAUGAUAAUUGGCCAGAAUCCAACCCAUCCAACAUAAUGGUCACCCAAGGAAUAUUCAGCACAGAUGACAGACAGAUUCACUCAUGUGAAGAAAUUCUAGUUCCCACAUCUGAUGACUUUUCUGUGGACAUGUUUGAUGGUUUAUUUAACGCAGAGGAGGUGCAAUACCAGGCUUACAACAUAGAUGAUGAUGUUGACAUGGACUAUAUCAUCAACCAUAUUGAUUAUUCUAUUAAGAAUGACCAUGAGAUAGAUAUGGAUAUGACAUGGGAUGACGAUGCGCUCGUAAACAUUGAAUCUGGAUGA